Molecule: transfer RNA, 17 nt
Filed under: Phrynocephalus guttatus kushakewitschi
Lineage: Eukaryota; Metazoa; Chordata; Lepidosauria; Squamata; Agamidae
Description: partial tRNA-Tyr
Source: RNAcentral
GUGAACUCCUCUUAUCA